GACUGUGACUAGUCUGAAUUUUAAUGAAGCCAACAGUAAGGGAACUGUUCCCUUAGGGUUUUCAGAAGGCACUUUAACACAAAUCAUACUGUUAUGGAAAAAAUAUAUUGAAUAAAGUCUAUUAAACGGGGAACAAAUAGUUUAUUUUCUAUCUUUUCAUUCACAUCUAAAUAAAAUUACACUAAAUGUUUUUGCCCUUCUGAAGACAUUGGUUCAAGCUGGUAAGACUGUUAUUGGGUUAUUUUGAGUUUUAUCGCAAUAUUUCUUGGUUCUACUGUGUUAACCACAAAAAUUAUAAUAAAAAAACAUUUCUUUUUUAGGUA
Long non-coding RNA from Poecilia latipinna (sailfin molly), 323 nucleotides. RefSeq lists it as uncharacterized. The record is from RefSeq and is a predicted model, not a curated record. The transcript is spliced from 2 exons. Lineage: Eukaryota; Metazoa; Chordata; Actinopteri; Cyprinodontiformes; Poeciliidae.